GAUGAACGCUGGCGGCGUGCCUAAUACAUGCAAGUCGAGCGAACAGACGAGGAGCUUGCUCCUCUGACGUUAGCGGCGGACGGGUGAGUAACACGUGGAUAACCUACCUAUAAGACUGGGAUAACUUCGGGAAACCGGAGCUAAUACCGGAUAAUAUAUUGAACCGCAUGGUUCAAUAGUGAAAGACGGUUUUCCUGUCACUUAUAGAUGGAUCCGCGCCGCAUUAGCUAGUUGGUAAGGUAACGGCUUACCAAGGCGACGAUGCGUAGCCGACCUGAGAGGGUGCUCGGCCACACUGGAACUGACACACGGUCCAGACUACUACGGGAGGCAGCAGUAGGGAAUCUUCCGCAAUGGGCGAAGGCCUGACGGAGCAACGCCGCGUGAGUGAUGAAGCUCUUCGGAUCGUAAAACUCUGUUAUUAGGGAAGAACAAAUGUGUAAGUAACUAUGCACGUCUUGACGGUACCUAAUCAGAAAGCCACGGCUAACUACGUG
RNAcentral lists this ribosomal RNA (497 nucleotides) under uncultured bacterium. RNAcentral describes it as "partial 16S ribosomal RNA". It matches the Rfam family "Bacterial small subunit ribosomal RNA", at positions 28 to 507 of the family's 1533-position model. The record is from RNAcentral.